CAGCAGCCGCGGUAAUACGGAGGGUGCGAGCGUUAAUCGGAAUUACUGGGCGUAAAGCGCAUGCAGGUGGUUUGUUAAGUCAGAUGUGAAAGCCCGGGGCUCAACCUCGGAAUAGCAUUUGAAACUGGCAGACUAGAGUACUGUAGAGGGGGGUAGAAUUUCAGGUGUAGCGGUGAAAUGCGUAGAGAUCUGAAGGAAUACCGGUGGCGAAGGCGGCCCCCUGGACAGAUACUGACACUCAGAUGCGAAAGCGUGGGGAGCAAACAGGAUUAGAUACCCUGGUAGUCCACGCCGUAAACGUUGGGUACUAGGCGUGGCGUCUUAUCAACGGAUGCCGUGCUCGAAGCUAACGCGUUAAGUACCCCGCCUGGGGAGUACGGCCGCAAGGCUAAAACUCAAAGGAAUUGACGGGAGCCCGCACAAGCGGCGGAGCAUGCGGCUUAAUUCGAUGCAACCCGAAGAACCUUACCUGGGCUUGACAUCGCGGGAAAAGCCUUGGAAACAAGGUGUGCGAGAGCGUCCGUGACAGGUGGUGCAUGGUUGUCGUCAGCUCGUGUCGUGAGAUGUUGGGUUAAGUCCCGCAACGAGCGCAACCCUUGUCUUUAGUUGCCAUCAGGUAAUGCUGGGGACUCUAAAGAGACCGCUGGUGACGAGCCAGAGGAAGGUGGGGAUGACGUCAAGUCCGCAUGGCCCUUAUGCCCUGGGCUGCACACGUGCUACAAUGGUCGGUACAGAGGGUUGCCAAACCGCGAGGUGGAGCGAAUCCCAAAAAGCCGGCCCCAGUUCGGAUUGCAGUCUGCAACUCGACUGCAUGAAUGUUGGAAUCGCUAGUAAUCGCGAAUCAGCAGGUCGCGGUGAAUACGUUCCCGGCCCUUGUACACACCGCCCGU
Molecule: ribosomal RNA, 890 nt
Filed under: uncultured marine bacterium
Lineage: Bacteria
Description: bacterial SSU rRNA
Rfam family: Bacterial small subunit ribosomal RNA
Source: RNAcentral